GAUGAACGCUGGCGGCGUGCCUAAUACAUGCAAGUCGAGCGAACAGACGAGGAGCUUGCUCCUCUGACGUUAGCGGCGGACGGGUGAGUAACACGUGGAUAACCUACCUAUAAGACUGGGAUAACUUCGGGAAACCGGAGCUAAUACCGGAUAAUAUAUUGAACCGCAUGGUUCAAUAGUGAAAGACGGUUUUGCUGUCACUUAUAGAUGGAUCCGCGCCGCAUUAGCUAGUUGGUAAGGUAACGGCUUACCAAGGCGACGAUGCGUAGCCGACCUGAGAGGGUGAUCGGCCACACUGGAACUGAGACACGGUCCAGACUCCUACGGGAGGCAGCAGUAGGGAAUCUGCCGCAAUGGGCGAAAGCCUGACGGAGCAACGCCGCGUGAGUGAUGAAGGUCUUCGGAUCGUAAAACUCUGUUAUUAGGGAAGAACAAAUGUGUAAGGAACUAUGCACGUCUUGACGGUACCUAAUCAGAAAGCCACGGCUAACUACGUG
This 497-nucleotide ribosomal RNA is filed under the name uncultured bacterium. Its description in RNAcentral is "partial 16S ribosomal RNA". It matches the Rfam family "Bacterial small subunit ribosomal RNA", at positions 28 to 507 of the family's 1533-position model. The record is from RNAcentral.